Molecule: transfer RNA, 70 nt
Filed under: Marmota monax (woodchuck)
Lineage: Eukaryota; Metazoa; Chordata; Mammalia; Rodentia; Sciuridae
Description: tRNA.Undet
Rfam family: tRNA (bases 6-65)
About the family: Transfer RNA (tRNA) molecules are approximately 80 nucleotides in length. Their secondary structure includes four short double-helical elements and three loops (D, anti-codon, and T loops). Further hydrogen bonds mediate the characteristic L-shaped molecular structure. tRNAs have two regions of fundamental functional importance: the anti-codon, which is responsible for specific mRNA codon recognition, and the 3' end, to which the tRNAs corresponding amino acid is attached (by aminoacyl-tRNA synthetases). tRNAs cope with the degeneracy of the genetic code in two manners: having more than one tRNA (with a specific anti-codon) for a particular amino acid; and 'wobble' base-pairing, i.e. permitting non-standard base-pairing at the 3rd anti-codon position.
Source: RNAcentral
GAGGAUGUGGCUCAGUGGUAGAGCACUUGCCUAGCAGCAUGAAGCCCAGGGUUCAAUCCCCAGCACUGCA